AGAUAGUGCAUCUAAUUAUUCUGCAAUUCAAAAAUUGAAGCCGUGAUUGCAGACUCAGGAUAUUCCCAUGAAAUGAGAAGACUCGUAUGUCGUUUCUAUACUUAAACAUGGAACUUAAACAUUAAGUUAAACCUAUUCCAAAUACAUUUUCAAACUAUUCAAAUGAUGAAAGUUAUUGUUGUUUUUAAGCGUUUAUUAGCGAGUGGGAAACUCCAACAUGGCCGCCAUCUAUUCAAAUGGGGGUAACCGCUGGAAUAUUCUUGGCUUC
This 268-nucleotide long non-coding RNA is filed under the name Paramuricea clavata. The record is from RNAcentral. Lineage: Eukaryota; Metazoa; Cnidaria; Anthozoa; Malacalcyonacea; Plexauridae.